GUGUGUGUGGGGAGGUUAACAGUGUGUGAGAGUAUGGUAACACUACAAUGUGGGGGGUGACAGUGUGUGGGGGGCAUGACAAUGUGUGUGUGAGGGGGUGACAGUGUGUGUAAGGGAGAGUGGCAGUAUGUAUAAGGAAGGGUGACAGUGUGUGUGAGCGGGAUGAUACUGUGUGUGGGAGGGGGUGACAGUUUGUGUGUGAGGAGUGAU
Pelobates cultripes (western spadefoot toad) is the source of this 210-nucleotide non-coding RNA. NCBI's taxonomy places the organism in Eukaryota, Metazoa, Chordata, Amphibia, Anura, Pelobatidae. The record is from the annotation of a GenBank genome assembly.